UGGGGGAUAUUGCGCAAUGGGGGCAACCCUGACGCAGCAACGCCGCGUGAAGGAUGAAGGUUUUCGGAUUGUAAACUUCUUUUAUUAAGGACGAAAAAUGACGGUACUUAAUGAAUAAGCUCCGGCUAACUACGUGCCAGCAGCCGCGGUAAUACGUAGGGAGCAAGCGUUGUCCGGAUUUACUGGGUGUAAAGGGUGCGUAGGCGGCUUUGCAAGUCAGAUGUGAAAUCUAUGGGCUCAACCCAUAAACUGCAUUUGAAACUGUAGAGCUUGAGUGAAGUAGAGGCAGGCGGAAUUCCCCGUGUAGCGGUGAAAUGCGUAGAGAUGGGGAGGAACACCAGUGGCGAAGGCGGCCUGCUGGGCUUUAACUGACGCUGAGGCACGAAAGCGUGGGUAGCAAACAGGAUUAGAUACCCUGGUAGUCCACGCUGUAAACGAUGAUUACUAGGUGUGGGGGGUCUGACCCCUUCCGUGCCGGAGUUAACACAAUAAGUAAUCCACCUGGGGAGUACGGCCGCAAGGUUGAAACUCAAAGGAAUUGACGGGGGCCCGCACAAGCAGUGGAGUAUGUGGUUUAAUUCGAAGCAACGCGAAGAACCUUACCAGGUCUUGACAUCCAACUAACGAAGUAGAGAUACAUUAGGUGCCCUUCGGGGAAAGUUGAGACAGGUGGUGCAUGGUUGUCGUCAGCUCGUGUCGUGAGAUGUUGGGUUAAGUCCCGCAACGAGCGCAACCCUUGCUAUUAGUUGCUACGCAAGAGCACUCUAAUAGGACUGCCGUUGACAAAACGGAGGAAGGUGGGGACGACGUCAAAUCAUCAUGCCCCUUAUGACCUGGGCUACACACGUACUACAAUGGAUGUUAACAGAGGGAAGCAAGACAGCGAUGUGGAGCAAACCCCUAAAAACAUUCUCAGUUCAGAUUGCAGGCUGCAACCCGCCUGCAUGAAGAUGGAAUUGCUAGUAAUCGCGGAUCAGCAUGCCGCGGUGAAUACGUUCCC
This 1000-nucleotide ribosomal RNA is filed under the name uncultured bacterium. Its description in RNAcentral is "bacterial SSU rRNA". It matches the Rfam family "Bacterial small subunit ribosomal RNA", at positions 355 to 1375 of the family's 1533-position model. The record is from RNAcentral. RNAcentral also lists the same sequence under 1 other name.